RNAcentral lists this long non-coding RNA (6091 nucleotides) under Prunus persica (peach). RNAcentral describes it as "long non-coding RNA (PPER_LNC004398)". The record is from RNAcentral. Lineage: Eukaryota; Viridiplantae; Streptophyta; Magnoliopsida; Rosales; Rosaceae.
CAUACCACUACAAGUCACCACCACCUCCACACUAUCACCAUAAGUCUCCACCUCCAUACCACUACAAGUCACCACCUCCACCAUCCCCUUCACCUCCUCCUCCUUAUGUCUACAAGUCUCCACACCUCCGUCACGUCACCUCUCUCAUACGUCUAUAAUCUCAACACACAUCUCAUCCCACUCUCCUUAUGUGUACAAUCUCACCACACAUCUCAUNNNNNNNNNNNNNNNNNNNNNNNNNNNNNNNNNNNNNNNNNNNNNNNNNNNNNNNNNNNNNNNNNNNNNNNNNNNNNNNNNNNNNNNNNNNNNNNNNNNNGUUGACAACAAGUGUGCUGGUGAAUAAUAAGGGUCUAGCAGAACCCUUCUUGUAAUCUGUUGUAAGCACUUAUUGUAUUACUUCUUUAAAGAGAUUAAUUGAAUCAAAUGAAAGUGAAGAACAUUAAUUUCAUGUACUUGUUAAUCUAGUAUAUGCCCCUAUGACUUUUGGGUUAAUUAGUUCUGUGCUUCUUUGUUGAAAAGUUAAUGCAUGAUAAUGCAUAUCACUUUAUCAUCGUUAUUAAAUAGUAAACAUGCAUGCAUUUUAUAAUAAAUUUGGUACCUGGAUGUUUCAAGUUGUAACCAAAGCUCAAUUGGCCAGAUACGAAAUCAAAUUUAAGAAUUGUUUAAUCUGAUAGUUGACGUGACUUACUGUUUAUGUUCAUAUGUUUGGGAAACAUUACUGCAAUUGAGUGGACAGAGAUAUGUUUAUGUCCAUUGGGCCUACUCUCGGAACUUAGCUGGCAUGAACAAAUUAAUAGUUGACUACUGGGCACUUAAACAUACCCAAAUUUUUUUAGAGGCUAUUGAUUUUGAGUAGGAAUCCCCGUUGGGUCCGGUCCCAGGCUUAAUCGGGAAGAUUUCGGGGUAAAAUUAGAGGCUGGUAUGUGAAUCUCUAAAUUUUUAAAAUUCCCUGUCAAGGAUGGUAUUGUCACUACAAAAAAAAAGUGGUAACAGUCACCAUUAUUUAGUGACAUUUGCUGGGGCGAUUAAAGGUUUUAGUCACUAAAAAAGUCUUUUUUGGUGACUUCAAAAAUGCCUUUUGUGACUAAAGCCUUUAGUCACCCCAACAAAUAUCACCAAAUAAUGGUCACUAUUGCCACUUUUGUUUUUUUGAGGUGUUAUCCCCUUCUCCAAACCCGGUCUAAUAAGGGAAAUAUUUAUUUGGGUAAAAAAACACUUUUGGCCACUAGGGUUAGAGUUGAAAACGAUUUUGGACAUGGAUCCGUUGUCCCUAUUUUUCAUGUCCCUCCAUGUCCCUUUUCUAAUUUCUUGACAAGUGUCCACCUACUUAACCCCAAACUAAUACUGUUAAUUUGUAAUAAAAUAUUUAAAAAACAUAAAAACUAAAAUCGAAAAACAAAAACCAAGCAGACACCACAACCCCGCCCCACCUCAGCAGCCCCCUGAGCCUCUCCCAUCUUCACCAUCGGCGAAGCAUCCCCUCUUAUUUGUCUCUCUUUCCUUCUUCUAUCUCACUGCCUCUCCUGAAUUUGUUCCUCUUUCCCUCCUCUUUCGUGGUGUGGGUGUGACGAGGAAUAGUGUUUCUAAGCAAUAAUAGUCAUAAUCUCAAAGUUUAAGUCAUAGUGUUUCUAAGCAAUAAUAGUCUUCAGUCACCAUUGAAUUCUACGAGGGUUUAGAUCAAAUCGGCAUCAACAAAAAUUAACAAAUAAUAUUUCAAGGGUUGUGUGACUUGCAACACUUCGUAGAAAAGAUUGGGACAAAAUUCAAAGGAGAGAUAUAUAUAUAUAUAUAUAUAGAGAGAGAGAGCUUCCAUUGAGGGAUCCCUCAAAUAACUUAUUUGAGGAAUACCCCUUGUAGGCCCCACUUCGAAUUGUAUCUCAUUCAUCCAAACAGUCUAUUUUGUAGAUACUCAUUCAAAGAUCAUCUCUACAAAAAAUCACUUGAAUCCGAUAUCAGUUGACCACUCAAUUGAGUUAUUGAAAUUUUAGUACUUUUUUGAAGCACCGUGUUCAUUGAUUUUGUAAGACACAAUUGGAUGUCGAAACGGUUUCCGAUUUGUCUAAUUUUUUGUAAGGAUAAUCUAUGAAUGAAGACCUAAAAAAUAGAUGAUUUGGAUCAUUGGAAAAAAAAAUUGUAAGGUACCCUAAAGGGCGUUCCUCAAAUAAUUUGAGGGAUCCCUCAAUAGAAGGGGAUAUAUAUAUAUUUAUAUAUUAGGAGUCUAAACCAGCGGUUUUAGUAUUUCCUCUUCAGCAAUUGGUGGGCUAUGCUUGUGUACUAGUUCUCCAAUAUCGAAUGUGUGAGGUUGAUUAUGGUAUAGGGCAGAAACAAACAUACCUUACAAGUGAAAUCACAUAGUACUAAACUGGAAUUGAAGUUCUUUUCUCUUUUUCCCCCCCUUUGGGAAGGAUAAUCUCUUUAAAUUGUACGCAGAUGUGUACAAAAUGAGUGGUUUUUGUAUUGUCUAAAACUGAGAAGGGAAAUAUUUUUGCCUAUCUUUUUGGCUCCUUUUUGUGUUUUCUUAUUUGUCGAGGAUAAUAGAAGGGUUGGUUAGAUGAGCAUCGAUCCACGACAAUGUCAACUUAGGCGGUGACCUCUUAGUUGGAAUCGAGAGUCCCUUUUUUGUUUUGGUUAGAAUGAAAACAAAGUCUGCAGUCGAUAUAUACCUUUAACUAAGUUUCCCUUGUUUUUCUUUCUUUGCAUUUGUUUUUCUUCCUUACCGACUAAUACGUACAAACAUGCAUAAGACUUUCAAUCUAAAUUUCAAACUUUUCUAGAAGUAGAGAGAGAGAGAUAGUAUAUAUAUAUAUAUUGAGCCAUCACUUGCCAAGUCUAAUGACACACAAGUAGGACACACACAUUAAAUGCAAGCUUGACCUUAAAUUUUUCUUCCCUCUUACACACAAGGGCCGAUUGAGUGAAAAUAAAAAUAAAAAAUUGAUUUAGAGAGACCAAAAUAUUAAAGAAAAUUUGAUAUUUCUCAAAAUUUUCAAUGUCUAAUAUAUUUUUUUAUUAAAUAUAUGUAAUAUAGUUUAUGUAAUUAACUUACUAUAAAUUUAUAUAAACAAAAACCAUAAUUUGCAGGGUAGUACAAAUAUCCACAAAUAAUUAAUACAAAGAUAGAAGCAUAGUAAGCACGUAAGGUUAAUCCAGAUACAUAGAAAGACACAGUACCGAGAACAUCAAGCGCACAAGGUGUAUCUCCACUAAUUAAUAGCCACAUAAUGCCAAAGAAAUUUUUGCAUAAAAGCUACAAGACUGCAUAAGACAGACAUGAACCGCAGUGCGUAAAACUACCAACACAACUGCAACUUUUAAACUCUCGCAAGUAGAACUUAUAAGUAAGUACCUAGACUACAAACAAACACCCAACUUACAAGAAUUGAUGAAAUUAUUACAACUCAAGAAUAUAUAAACACACAACAAGUGAGUAAAAGUUGCUAAGCCACUAAGCCACCUUGUAUGUCUCUAAAUUUGGCAACGAAACCACCAGUGCAUUGCUACUUCAUCGUCACCAAAGAUUCCAAUGAAAGCCAAAUCACAAGGCUGGGUUUUUUUUUUUUUUUGGAGAAAAACUUAGGUUGGUUUUAUUACUAGAGAAUUCGAAUGGCACAAUUGCUUUUCAGGUUCUCCAUCUUAAUUUGUAAUAGAAGUAACACAUUUAAAAGAUUUAUUUUUCUAGCUCUCAUAAAUAUGGAUGAGGUGAAACCAGCCAAAAGUUCCUCAGUCACACGCUAAACUGAAUAUCUUUAAACCUUAUUACUCUAGGUUGGUAAAAGAAUUUUCUCUUUUUAAUUCUUUGGUGCAACUCGAUCUCUUCUUUAUAGUUUUUUGAGAGUCGAUCACUUUUGACAAAGUGCCAAGUUGCCAACUAUGCUCCUAUUUACAUUACAUUGAAUAAAGAAAAAGAUAAUAUAGUGAGGAUAGAAUAGUUAUUAUCAGUUAUUCUAAAAUAAAAUAAAAUAAAACAAACUAAAAUUAUCCAUAUGUUUCUCCCACAAUUUUUUGUCACUAUUUCUUAUUAUCUACUUCUCGAGCAAUAAUUGUCUCACAUACAAAGCAUUCUAGUAAUAGUAAUAUAAGGACUAAUGAACUAAUGCAAAAACAUUAAGGGCCCUUAAUUGAGUUCGGCAAUUCAAAUCCAAAAAUUCAAUUGGCAAAGUACAAUGUGUGUUUAUUUAUUUGGGUUAAAUAUUUUUUUGGUCACUAGAAAAAAAUUCAGCCAAAUUGGUCACUGUGUUUUCCGAAGUAUACAAUUUAUUGACAUUCUGUUAUCUUUCAUUAAUUGCAGUUUUUUUUAAAAAAAAAAAAAUAGGAAUCACCUUCUGUCUUCUUCCUUUAACUCAACAAGUUAUGGUAUAUUGUGCUAUUAGAGUUCAGCAAAUUGGGGGAAAUCUUGGGUUGAAAUCGAAAUCGUGAGGCAUGAGGAAAAUCAAAAGGCCAAACCAAAUUAAAAUGAAAUCAACAACUUACUAAUAUAUUUUGGUGCUCUAUCACAUUGAUUGUGUCUCCUUGUCAUCCGAAGUCACAAUACAAUUCUCACUCAAUCGAUUCAGGCUUCAAUAUAAUACCCAAUUAUUCGUGACCUUAUACCUCAUCAUUUCGAUUUCAACCCAAAAUUUCCCCCCAUCUUUAAAACUCUUAUAGCACAAUAACCUAACUUGUUGAGUUAGCGAGUUAGAGGAAGAAGACUUGAACGUGCUUCUUGGAAAUAUAAAAAUAAAAACUGCACUUAAUGGAAGUUAACGGUAGAUAACAAAAUGUCUAAAUUGUAAACUUAUGGAAAUAUUGUGAUCAAUCUGACUAAAUUUUUUUCUGAAUGACUAAAUUGAAUUUCCGUGUAAUGACCAAAAAGAUAUUUAAUCCUAUUUAUUUUUAUGAAGCAAAACUCUAAUGUUAAUGGAUGAAAGCUUUACACCUUUUAAUUAGCUAAGCACUUUUGAUAAUCCAGUAAAGUAUUUUUCAUAAUGGGUCAAAGUGUUCAGUUAUAUGCAAGCUAGCGUUCGAACUUUACCUUUUUUUACCAUAUAUAUUUAUUAUUACUUCACUAGUUGCUGGAGAACAGACCAACCCUUUUCAUUUUCACUCUCCAGCCGUACAACACUUACCUACCACACGGUUUGACUUGUCCAUGGCCUUCAUGAAAGAUCAAAGUUGAAAAAUCUUUGUGGGAACCCAAAUUCACUGGUUGAAGCAUGCGAGUUCAACUGAUUGGCAUUUCAAAAUCUCAAAGUCACAUUUGGUAGAAAACUUAAAGCAUCAAUCCAGCCAAUUAUGCUGAAUAAGCAAACAUGUCUUAUUCAAAGAUGAUGUCAAAGAUUGCUAUAAAAGGGAUAGCUUUCUCACCAUUUCCAACCACCUCACUCACAAAACAAGUUCUAAGAACUACAAUUUGUGGCAGAAAUGAGAACCUCAGGACAGCUGAGGCAUUGCCCUACAAUGUUUUAUGCCUUGGCAUUGUGCCUCUUGGCCACAAGUGUGCUUGCCACUACGCCUUAUACUUAUUCUUCACCACCUCCACCAAAGCACUUGGAGACCCCUCCAACCCAUUACAAGUCCCCCCCACCACCGAAGUAUGUAAAACAUCCACCACCUCCAUCACCAUCACCCCCGCCACCCUAUUAUAAGUCUCCACCACCGCCUUCUCAUUCGCCGCCUCCUCCUUAUGUGCACAAAUCUCCUCCACCACCCACUCACUCACCACCUCCACCAUAUGCUUACAAGUCACCACCUCCCCCUUCUAAAUCACCACCUCCUCCUUAUGUCCACAAAUCUCCUCCUUAUGUCCACAAGUCACCACCUCCACCAUCAUAUUCUCCUCCACCUCCUUACCACUACAAGUCACCACCACCACCAUCUCCAUCACCUCCCCCUCCAUACCACUACAACUCUCCUCCUCCUCCAGUGAAGUCACCUCCACCUCCCCAAUAUCACUACAAAUCACCUCCACCUCCAAAACACUACUAAGCUUUAUGGGAUUUUAGCGACUUGAACCAGUCCAAAUAAGGUCUUCGUUUCGAUGUUCCAGCGGUAUCACUUCUUUUUCUAGCUUUGUUCUAUUCGCAGACAAGUGUGUUUGUGAAUAAUAAAGGUC